Molecule: RNA transcript, 2120 nt
Organism: Oryza brachyantha (malo sina)
Lineage: Eukaryota; Viridiplantae; Streptophyta; Magnoliopsida; Poales; Poaceae
Gene name: probable sodium/metabolite cotransporter BASS1, chloroplastic
Exons: 12
Source: RefSeq, a predicted model, not a curated record
CAUUGUUUUGAGAGGAGGGUUUUAGUGGGUUAUGCAUAGGAAUCUUGUUUUUGAGUUUUUGUUUGAAUGUAGAAAAGCUGGGUUACUGAUGAAUUCAAAGGUUGUGGUGUGACUCAAGGGGUGGAACUCUCCACUUUGUCACCCACCUUCACACUUUUAAGCUCAUUUUCUGGAUUCUACAGUUACAUAUUAUCACAAGCUGAGUACUGUUUGAGGGGAGCUUCUGGGGAGCUUCGGACUUCUAGAGAUUCUAUGAUAAGCUGCAGGUAAUCGUUAAAGGUGUCAGGUCAACAUCCCAUGCCAUGCCUCUCCUCCACUGGCCAACAACCGCUCCUUGCCUCACUCAGAUCCACCACUACCAGCACCUUCACCUCUUCAAUACGCACAACCCCCGCCUUAGAGCUACCUUCUCAUCUCUCCCUGCCAUCUGCCUUCAUAUCCACGACAGCAACAACCCAGUUCGACCCUUUCCUAGUAUUCCGUUGAGCAGGUGCCAUGCAGCCACUGAUCCGGCACCCUCUAAGAUACCAGUAGGCGAUGGCAGUGUGUUGGAGGCUGGAGUAGUAGGUUGGCGAGAUCUGCUUCUGCAAGUUGGCGAGGUGCUGUCGCUUGGGUUCCCGGUCUGGGUGGCAUCCGCUUGUGCAGUUGCACUGUGGCAGCCAUCAGCCUUCCUCUGGGUCAGUCCCAUGGCUCAGAUUAUCGGCAUCUCGUUUACCAUGCUGGGAAUGGGUAUGACAUUGACAUUAGAUGACCUGAAAACUGCACUAUUGAUGCCCAAGGAAUUAGCUGCUGGAUUUGUACUUCAAUACUCGGUGAUGCCACUGUCAGGAUAUUUUGUGAGCAAGCUAUUAAAUUUACCACCCUAUUACGCUGCUGGGUUGAUAUUGGUGUCCUGUUGUCCUGGAGGCACAGCAAGCAACAUUGUUACCUAUUUAGCAAGGGGAAAUGUUGCUCUUUCGGUACUGAUGACAGCAGCAAGCACUUUUGCUGCAGCGUUCAUAACUCCUUUUCUGACAUCCAAACUAGCUGGACAAUAUGUGGCAGUAGAUCCAAUGGGAUUGUUUGUGUCAACAUCUCAGGUUGUCCUGGCACCUGUCCUACUCGGUGCUCUACUUAAUCAGUACUGCAACGGUUUAGUUCAGUUAGUUUCUCCCUUGAUGCCAUUCAUUGCUGUGGCAACUGUAGCUGUUCUUUGUGGCAAUGCUAUUGCACAGAAUGCUUCAGCCAUUCUAUCAUCCGGUCUCCAAGUGGUUAUGUCUGUUUGUUGGUUGCAUGCAUCUGGCUUUUUCUUUGGCUAUGUUCUUUCAAGAAUGCUUGGAAUCGACAUCUCUUCGUCACGAACAAUCUCUAUUGAGGUUGGCAUGCAGGUCAGGCGGUUUGGGUGAGCUUUCUUUUGGCUACAAGGGGUCAUGAGCCUGGCUCAGUCUCUGCACAGAUCCUAGGACCUCUUUUCUUUCUAGCUGUCUCUUUUGGCUACGGUCUUCUUUCUUUGGUUUGCUGCGUUGGUCGGGUUCUGCUGUAGCAACUUGGUGCGCUGGUGUUGUUCGUCCCAUUGUGUGCAUUACCUGUUUAGAGUCUGUUGUGCUGCCUGCAAGUCAGGCAUGGCAGGGCUAGGGGGCGACAGCGACAUCUGGAGGCGCGGGCGGCGGGAAGGCUGCGCCGCUGCGGUGGUGCAACUCCGACGUAGGCCGGUGGUCCGCGUCAGUAAUACUAGUUGCUCAUGUUAAUGGUCGUCAAUGGUGCCUAGCUAGCUGGAUCAUGUUCAAUCUGUACCAAGCUAGUGCGCAGAAGCAUCUCUGUUUGCCAGAUUGUAGUUGUUUGAUGAUUUCGAAAUUAUUUUAGUACUAUAUUGGGUAAAAAAACUACAUGUCUUUUUGAUACUUUUAGUUUAUUUUUUUGUGCCAUCCUCUCCUGCUGUCCCGGAGUUCGCAGCUGCUAAAGUUGCUGGUGAGCAAUACUACCAGUCUACUAGUGAUCAUGGUUAACUAAAUUGCAACCUGAAGGACAAAUGGUAAGCCAGUGCAGUAGUGCUGCAAAAUGCUCCUUAAUUAUUUUGGAUUUUCACAAAUUGAAGGAGAAAUGGAACUGAUCAUGAGGGAACUUCAAUCUGAAUCCUCAUU